GCCUGGCUGGCUAAGUUGAUAAACCAUAUGGCUCUUGAUCUUAGGGUCAUGAGUUCCAGUCCCAUGUUGGGCA
RNAcentral lists this transfer RNA (73 nucleotides) under Felis catus (domestic cat). It matches the Rfam family "tRNA". From Rfam's summary of the family: Transfer RNA (tRNA) molecules are approximately 80 nucleotides in length. Their secondary structure includes four short double-helical elements and three loops (D, anti-codon, and T loops). Further hydrogen bonds mediate the characteristic L-shaped molecular structure. tRNAs have two regions of fundamental functional importance: the anti-codon, which is responsible for specific mRNA codon recognition, and the 3' end, to which the tRNAs corresponding amino acid is attached (by aminoacyl-tRNA synthetases). tRNAs cope with the degeneracy of the genetic code in two manners: having more than one tRNA (with a specific anti-codon) for a particular amino acid; and 'wobble' base-pairing, i.e. permitting non-standard base-pairing at the 3rd anti-codon position. Lineage: Eukaryota; Metazoa; Chordata; Mammalia; Carnivora; Felidae. The record is from Rfam by way of RNAcentral.